RNAcentral lists this ribosomal RNA (265 nucleotides) under uncultured bacterium. RNAcentral describes it as "partial 16S ribosomal RNA". It matches the Rfam family "Bacterial small subunit ribosomal RNA", at positions 793 to 1055 of the family's 1533-position model. The record is from RNAcentral.
GUCCACGCCCUAAACGAUGCAUAUUUGGUGUGGGUCAUUCAGUUGAUCCGUGCCGGAGCUAACGCGUUAAAUAUGCCGCCUGGGGAGUACAGUCGCAAGGCUGAAACUCAAAGGAAUUGACGGGGGCCCCGCACAAGCGGUGGAGCAUGUGGUUCAAUUCGACGCAACGCGAAGAACCUUACCUGGGCUCGAACGGCCGGUUAACGGCGUUGGAAACAGCGCUAUCCCGCAAGGGAGUCCGGUCGAUGUGCUGCAUGGCUGUCGU